This 234-nucleotide ribosomal RNA is filed under the name uncultured bacterium. RNAcentral's name for it is "partial 16S ribosomal RNA". It matches the Rfam family "Bacterial small subunit ribosomal RNA", at positions 99 to 334 of the family's 1533-position model. The record is from RNAcentral.
CGCACGGGUGAGUAACACGUAUCCAACCUGCCGUCUACUCUUGGACAGCCUUCUGGAAGGAAGAUUAAUACAAGAUGGCAUCAUGAGUUCACAUGUUCACAUGAUUAAAGGUAUUCCGGUAGACGAUGGGGAUGCGUUCCAUUAGAUAGUAGGCGGGGUAACGGCCACCUAGUCUUCGAUGGAUAGGGGUUCUGAGAGGAAGGUCCCCCACAUUGGAACUGAGACACGGUCCAA